CUCCGGGACACCGUGGAGCUCAUUUCUCGGGAGGUGGCCCGUAUCGACGACGCCUACUUCAGGUCGUUCAUCGACUUCGCGAGCUCCGGGGAGGUGGAGAUGGAGCAGCUGGUGCCGACGACAGACUCGCUAGAGUUGACGCUGAACCCGAACGUGGAGGUGGACAGCUUGCUGGGGAUCCCGUUCUAUGAGAUGGACUUGGGCGGUAGCCGGCCCUUCUUCUUCUUGCCCGGAUACAGCAACGUGCCGGUGGAUGGGUUCAUGUACAUCGUGCAAUCCUUCGAGGGCGACGGGAGCGUGGACGCCUACGUGCCUCUCUUCGGCCGCACCAUGGAAACCUUCAAGAAGUGCUGCUACUCCUCCAUGCCGCCCAUGGCCGACGAAGAAGGUGGAGCCCUGUCACCACCGCAAAGAGGGCAGCCCAUCCAUAUUAAAUUUGAAAACUGCACAGCUGAUCAGAUCAGCCUCCCGUCGCUACACCCCUUGCCGUCCAUACACCCAAGAAGUGAAGUCACCACCGUCACCAUGGAGCGUGUCGGAAUGCAAGUCGGGAAGACCGCCAUUCGGGUUCGACACCCCGACAUCCCCUAG
RNAcentral lists this ribosomal RNA (591 nucleotides) under Triticum aestivum (bread wheat). RNAcentral's name for it is "partial small subunit ribosomal RNA". Lineage: Eukaryota; Viridiplantae; Streptophyta; Magnoliopsida; Poales; Poaceae. The record is from RNAcentral.